CUACGUGCCAGCAGCCGCGGUAAUACGUAGGUGGCAAGCGUUGUCCGGAUUUAUUGGGCGUAAAGCGAGCGCAGGCGGUUCCUUAAGUCUGAUGUGAAAGCCCCCGGCUCAACCGGGGAGGGUCAUUGGAAACUGGGGAACUUGAGUGCAGAAGAGGAGAGUGGAAUUCCAUGUGUAGCGGUGAAAUGCGUAGAUAUAUGGAGGAACACCAGUGGCGAAGGCGACUCUCUGGUCUGUAACUGACGCUGAGGCUCGAAAGCGUGGGUAGCAAACAGGAUUAGAUACCCUGGUAGUCCACSCCGUAAACGAUGAGUGCUAGGUGUUAGACCCUUUCCGGGGUUUAGUGCCGCAGCUAACGCAUUAAGCACUCCGCCUGGGGAGUACGACCGCAAGGUUGAAACUCAAAGGAAUUGACGGGGGCCCGCACAAGCGGUGGAGCAUGUGGUUUAAUUCGAAGCAACGCGAAGAACCUUACCUGG
This 479-nucleotide ribosomal RNA is filed under the name uncultured bacterium. RNAcentral's name for it is "bacterial SSU rRNA". It matches the Rfam family "Bacterial small subunit ribosomal RNA", at positions 501 to 978 of the family's 1533-position model. The record is from RNAcentral.